UACGUAGGGUGCAAGCGUUGUCCGGAAUUAUUGGGCGUAAAGAGCUCGUAGGCGGCUUGGCAAGUCGGGUGUGAAAACUUCAGGCUCAACCUGGAGCGGCCACUCGAUACUGCCAUGGCUUGAGUCCGGUAGGGGACCACGGAAUUCCUGGUGUAGCGGUGAAAUGCGCAGAUAUCAGGAGGAACACCGGUGGCGAAGGCGGUGGUCUGGGCCGGAACUGACGCUGAGGAGCGAAAGCGUGGGGAGCGAACAGG
RNAcentral lists this ribosomal RNA (254 nucleotides) under uncultured bacterium. RNAcentral describes it as "partial 16S ribosomal RNA". It matches the Rfam family "Bacterial small subunit ribosomal RNA", at positions 524 to 776 of the family's 1533-position model. The record is from RNAcentral.